UGGCUAAUCCUGGUCGGACAUCAGGAGGUUAGUGCAAUGGCAUAAGCCAGCUUGACUGCGAGCGUGACGGCGCGAGCAGGUGCGAAAGCAGGUCAUAGUGAUCCGGUGGUUCUGAAUGGAAGGGCCAUCGCUCAACGGAUAAAAGGUACUCCGGGGAUAACAGGCUGAUACCGCCCAAGAGUUCAUAUCGACGGCGGUGUUUGGCACCUCGAUGUCGGCUCAUCACAUCCUGGGGCUGAAGUAGGUCCCAAGGGUAUGGCUGUUCGCCAUUUAAAGUGGUACGCGAGCUGGGUUUAGAACGUCGUGAGACAGUUCGGUCCCUAUCUGCCGUGGGCGCUGGAGAACUGAGGGGGGCUGCUCCUAGUACGAGAGGACCGGAGUGGACGCAUCACUGGUGUUCGGGUUGUCAUGCCAAUGGCACUGCCCGGUAGCUAAAUGCGGAAGAGAUAAGUGCUGAAAGCAUCUAAGCACGAAACUUGCCCCGAGAUGAGUUCUCCCUGACUCCUUGAGAGUCCUGAAGGAACGUUGAAGACGACGACGUUGAUAGGCCGGGUGUGUAAGCGCAGCGAUGCGUUGAGCUAACCGGUACUAAUGAACCGUGAGGCUUAACCUUACAACGCCGAAG
RNAcentral lists this ribosomal RNA (625 nucleotides) under Escherichia coli. Its description in RNAcentral is "partial 23S ribosomal RNA". It matches the Rfam family "Bacterial large subunit ribosomal RNA", at positions 2318 to 2925 of the family's 2925-position model. The record is from RNAcentral. Lineage: Bacteria; Pseudomonadati; Pseudomonadota; Gammaproteobacteria; Enterobacterales; Enterobacteriaceae.